Molecule: ribosomal RNA, 253 nt
Filed under: uncultured prokaryote
Description: partial 16S ribosomal RNA
Rfam family: Bacterial small subunit ribosomal RNA
Source: RNAcentral
UACGGGGGAUGCAAGCGUUAUCCGGAAUGAUUGGGCGUAAAGCGUCCGUAGGUGGUUUAUCAAGUCAGUUGUCAAAGCGUGGAGCUUAACUCCAUAUAGGCAGUUGAAACUGAUAGGCUAGGGUGCGAUAGGGGCAAGGGGAAUUCCCCGUGUAGCGGUGAAAUGCGUAGAGAUGGGGAAGAACACCGGAGGCGAAAGCGCCUUGCUGGGUCGCGACCGACACUGAGGGACGAAAGCCAGGGGAGCGAAAGGG